AGCCCCUCCUCGCGCUGCCGCCCGUAGCCUCCUCGCGACGCCGUCUGCAGCCUCCUCGCGAUGCCGUCUGCAGCCUCCUCGACGUGCUGCCACCGGCCGCAGCCUCUUGACGCGUAGCCGCCGCCUGAAAAGCUGGAUUUAACCCCGGCAGGUACCUCUGUGUUGCGCUACCCGUUCCCCUCCGCGUCGCCCCCUCACGUUCCCAUCCGCGCGUCGAUUCUAGGAUCUCGGCCAUGGAGUGCUCCUCCUCCAUGGAUGGAUGUAGUGGAUGAUGUUUUGCUCUUGAUAAUAUUUUGUUGUUCUAGAACUUUAAAUAUAUCGUAUCUUGAAUUCCUUUUUGAAAUAAUAAGUUUGAUUGCCAUGGUCUGCUCAGGAUCGACUAAUUUCAAUGUUUGAUGUGCACUUGUUGGCAAGAGCAGAUGAUUCUGUGCUUUUGGGUGCAUUUGUGUAUAUUAGUAUGUGUUAAUUCAUUGAGAGAACUGGAGUACUAUAACAUAGGUUGGCCUAUGUAGGUUUAUUAGUCACAUGAAAAUAAUCUGACUCCAAAGCUCCACCAUCCUACAGCAUACUGAACUUUUCAGUAUGUGAGCAUGGCUUUAUAAUCCUGGACGAUUGUUACAUAUUUAACAGUCAAAGAAACUAUUGGUAUGAAAUUCGACAGAGACUUCUGAUGAGUUCUAUAGUAGCAAUCAUGAGCUCAGUGUUUUUCGUUUAUCAAUUUUUGAAAUUGGAGUUCUGUAGCAAGCAAACUGAUUGUAUGCGAUGAUAGAUAGGUUACGUAGUAUGUGGACACGGUCACAUGGAAGUGUCGAGACCUAGCCGACCCAGUCAAGAUAGACUUUUACCUAGAUCUUCAGUGUAUGGAUAAUCAAUCUAAAUUGCAAUACCAUAUUUCAGUAAAUCUCAUGAUUUAUGUCUGUAUAUAACAGGUGAUUCUUUAGUAAAUAUGCAUACCAUACUGAAUCUUAUUUUUGUGAAUUGCCACAGCAGUAUUAUCUGUAGUUUUGGGAUGGCAGUACCAAACUGAAACUGUGUACCUAAACCAUCAUCACUUCAGAAGUACUAGCACUCAUGUUAACUGUGGCAAAAAAAAUUGAACAUGUUUUUCUUAUGAUAAUUGUGCUAAAAUAUCACAUUCCAUGAUCUCUUUUUAGUAUGGGUAGCAAGAAUUUACACUUAACGCCGAGCAGUUCAUCUAUGCUUCAAUGAUGUUUGUGUGCCGGGCCAUAUCUAUCACCUCUCUAAGGUUCAAAAGCAACUCCUUUGCAAAUUCAUGGAACUUCUAUUGUUAUAUCACCUUGUUUUCUUCAGUAUCAUCAUCUUUUUUUGGUCUCACUGAAUCAGGUUAAGAAGUGGAACGAGCAGAGGGAGAAUGGGAGAUUUGCAGGGCCCCUCUAAAUCAUCCAUUUGAGAUUCUCCUCAGUUGCUUUUGUGUCAGUGUUAUUGCUGUCUUAUGUUUGAAUUUGUGCUCCUGUAAUGUACUCUUUUCCAGCAAUCGUUGGAGAACAUAUGUGAUGUUUUUCUGUUGCACAAAUAACUCGGCAUGCUUAUGUAUUUUGUUAUCCAGUAUACUUAAAUGUACGCUUUCCCGGGACUUGCGAAUGCACAAUUAUGUUGUUGUGAUGUGACUGCACAAUCAUGUGAUGAUAUAUUGAUUCCAAGUCAAGGAAAUUAUGUUGUUGAUGUGAAGAAUUGUUGGAAGAUUCGAUUUUUAACUGUUCUAUAUACCAUUUUAAUGCAAUAUGACAAUCCCUCCUUAUCAAACAAUGCUCUGCAUGGAGGGGGUGUGUGGCUAGAGGGGG
Molecule: long non-coding RNA, 1802 nt
Filed under: Triticum aestivum (bread wheat)
Lineage: Eukaryota; Viridiplantae; Streptophyta; Magnoliopsida; Poales; Poaceae
Description: long non-coding RNA (TAES_LNC011609)
Source: RNAcentral